GGUUAAGCGACUAAGCGUACACGGUGGAUGCCCUGGCAGUCAGAGGCGAUGAAGGACGUGCUAAUCUGCGAAAAGCGUCGGUAAGGUGAUAUGAACCGUUAUAACCGGCGAUGUCCGAAUGGGGAAACCCAGUGCAAUUCGUUGCACUAUCGUUAACUGAAUACAUAGGUUAACGAGGCGAACCGGGGGAACUGAAACAUCUAAGUACCCCGAGGAAAAGAAAUCAACCGAGAUUCCCCCAGUAGCGGCGAGCGAACGGGGAGCAGCCCAGAGUCUGAAUCAGCUUGUGUGUUAGUGGAACGGUCUGGAAAGUCCGACGGUACAGGGUGAUAGUCCCGUACACCAAAAUGCACAGGCUGUGAACUCGAAGAGUAGGGCGGGACACGUGGUAUCCUGUCUGAAUAUGGGGGGACCAUCCUCCAAGGCUAAAUACUCCUGACUGACCGAUAGUGAACCAGUACCGUGAGGGAAAGGCGAAAAGAACCCCGGCGAGGGGAGUGAAAAAGAACCUGAAACCGUGUACGUACAAGCAGUGGGAGCACCUUCGGGUGUGACUGCGUACCUUUUGUAUAAUGGGUCAGCGACUUAUAUUCUGUAGCAAGGUUAACCGUAUAGGGGAGCCGCAGGGAAACCGAGUCUUAACUGGGCGUUAAGUUGCAGGGUAUAGACCCGAAACCCGGUGAUCUAGCCAUGGGCAGGUUGAAGGUUGGGUAACACUAACUGGAGGACCGAACCGACUAAUGUUGAAAAAUUAGCGGAUGACUUGUGGCUGGGGGUGAAAGGCCAAUCAAACCGGGAGAUAGCUGGUUCUCCCCGAAAGCUAUUUAGGUAGCGCCUCGUGAAUUCAUCUUCGGGGGUAGAGCACUGUUUCGGCUAGGGGGUCAUCCCGACUUACCAACCCGAUGCAAACUACGAAUACCGAAGAAUGUUAUCACGGGAGACACACGGCGGGUGCUAACGUCCGUCGUGAAGAGGGAAACAACCCAGACCGCCAGCUAAGGUCCCAAAGUCAUGGUUAAGUGGGAAACGAUGUGGGAAGGCACAGACAGCCAGGAUGUUGGCUUAGAAGCAGCCAUCAUUUAAAGAAAGCGUAAUAGCUCACUGGUCGAGUCGGCCUGCGCGGAAGAUGUAACGGGGCUAAACCAUGCACCGAAGCUGCGGCAGCGACAC
Molecule: ribosomal RNA, 1170 nt
Filed under: Klebsiella pneumoniae
Lineage: Bacteria; Pseudomonadati; Pseudomonadota; Gammaproteobacteria; Enterobacterales; Enterobacteriaceae
Description: partial 23S ribosomal RNA
Rfam family: Bacterial large subunit ribosomal RNA
Source: RNAcentral